Non-coding RNA from Camelina sativa (false flax), 411 nucleotides. Lineage: Eukaryota; Viridiplantae; Streptophyta; Magnoliopsida; Brassicales; Brassicaceae. The record is from RefSeq and is a predicted model, not a curated record.
GAGAGUUCGAUCGACUCUCUCUCUCAUCUGACGCUCUCUCGUUGAUGCUGAGUUUUGAAAAUUCCGAGCACAAUUAGGGUUUUAUGACCCCAAACAUCAUCAAUGAAAUCAGCUUCUUCCCCAACCCAUCAUCGUGUGUGGUUUCUUAUUCGAACGCGCAAGUUAAGAAGGAGGAUAUAAUACUGGUGCGCGGUGAGGAUCGAAGGACGUUGCUUGUUUUGUUUCCAUAGUUGGUGUUUCUUCUUCUGAUUUGACCGACGGCCAAGUACAGGUCAGAGACAUGGAUUGAAGAACGAAGAAGAAGAAGACUCAAGACUAAUUAAGUUAACUCUGUUCUUCUCUGUUUCUUCUUUUUACUUGGAUUUUGAGAUUUACCAAGUUAUACUAACCUGCUUCUGAUGCUGUUUUCUC